This is a small nuclear RNA of Nannospalax galili (Upper Galilee mountains blind mole rat), 109 nucleotides long. The record is from Ensembl. Lineage: Eukaryota; Metazoa; Chordata; Mammalia; Rodentia; Spalacidae.
GUACUUGCUUUGGCAGCACAUACACUGAAAAAUUGGAACAAUACAAAGAAGAUUAGCAUGGCCCUUGUGCAAGGAUGACACACAAAUUCGUGAAGCAUUCCAUGUUUUA